UUCUCACCACUAGAUCUCUGUCCCGCCCUGUACACACGUGUUCCUCAGGCUCCCUGCACCACUUUCAACUGGUCCAACUGCUGCUCAGAUCAUCGCCACUUCAAGAAAACAUGAUCAUAGAACUGCUCCUUUCACACAUCAACUGUGGAACAUGUUCUUACAAGUGGGUCGGACAUUUUCUGGAGCUGAAGCAGCAGCAGGAGAUUGUCCGGGUCCGACUCGUUCACAGCAACAGGAACAUGUGGGAACAUUCAGACGAGGGGCGGAGCAAAAACACAGAUCUCCAUGACAACCAUGGUUACGUUAAGUUAUGUUAAGUUACAGGUUCACUGUGAAGGAGUUAGUGACGUCUCCAGGUGUCGUACAUGUGAACGUAGUCCACUUGUCCACGUGAACAACUCCUGAACAUGUCCAGCAAGAUAUUUAGAGACAUCUAGUGGUGAAGUUACAUAUAACAAACAACUGAACCCCGAGGACACGAGGACUUUCAAGCGGUUUUCAGUCAUGAACUCUGUUAAACAGUGUCUGGACAUUUUUCUGGAGUUUGACUUUCACAUAUGAAGAACAUGUGGAGCAGCAGGAGGCGGAGCCUGUAGAGCAGCAGGAGGCGGGACAUAACGUAUAAACUCUGCUGUGGGAAGAUCAGUGUUGUUGUUUCCAGCUCCUCCACACGGCGUCGGCCUCAUCACCAGAAGAUCUGGAAUCUCCUCGUGUUUCCAAGUUGACGUCUUCGUCUUCUACGUGUCCGGCUCCUCUUCUUCAUCCUGAGAUGUUUGUGUUCUUCAGGUUUCACGUCUGUCUCACGUGUUUGUGUCCUCAACACGUCCACUCACUCUCUGUGAAUCCUCUGGACAUUCACCGGCUCUAUUCUCACAUGGACUCACUCAGAAACUUUAUUAGGAGGCUGCAGGAGAAGAUCCAGAAAAGAGACAGUGAUGUUUAGUCAAUGUCCUUUAUUUUCUCACAUGAACUCAAUUUAAUUUACAGUUAAAUUUUAUUCUUUAUCCAGGUUGAAGAGCUGCAGUCUGUCAGAGAUCAGCUGUUCUUCUCUGGCUUCAGCUCUGAGGUCAAACCCCUCUCAUCUGAGACAACUGGAUCUGAGUAGAAACAACCACCUGCAGGACUCAGCAGUGAAGGAGCUGUGUGGUUUUCUACAGAGUCCAACCUGUCGACUGGAGACUCUGGGGUUGAAGGUCUGCAGUCUGACAGAGAUCAGCUGUUCUUCUCUGGCUUCAGCUCUGAGGUCAAACCCCUCUCAUCUGAGAGAACUGGAUCUGAGUCUAAACGACCUGCAGGACUCAGGAGUGAAGGAGCUGCUUGAUCUACAGCAGAGUCCAACCUGUCGACUGGAGACUCUGAGCUGGUGGUCUCCGUGGAGCUGAGUGUGAAGAGGACAGUGUGUGUGGACGGAGGCUGAGCUGUGUCCUGAGGAUCCAGAGGCUGAAGCAGCAGCAGCUUGUGUGUAGUCUCCAAUCUACACAACCCCUAAUCUGCAUGUGUUUGUGAGAUGAAGCCGGAGCACCUGGAGAAAACACGUGGAGAACAUGCAGACUCCACACAGGAAGACCCAUCUGAACCGGAUUCAAACCAGCAACCUUCCUGCCCCGAUUGUGUUUAUUCACAUGAAGAAUGUGUUUAUUGAAAUGACACAACACAAGCAGAAUAUAUAAACCCUCUAUAAAGAGUCACAUACAGUGUGUUUAAGUUAGUCUUUAUUAUUGUCCACCUUUGUCCCUCAGUCUGUCUCCAUGUGUGUAGAACCACAUUCUGUGUAGAUGUUUGUUUAUGAUCUUAAAGUUCCUGGAUUCACGUCACAAAUUGAUUUAGUUCAACACAAAGUUAAACACAUUGAAAUCACUUUGAGUUUAAAAUCAGAGUUUUGUCUUUCACACAAAAGAUCAAAACUCUGGACUUAAAAAUGGGACGUUUUCAUUUCUGCAUCAGGUGCAGAGCGGUGGUGGCUUUUCUACUUUUGACCCACAGGUGGCGCUGCAGUAUAACAGCAGCACAUCCCAGUCAAAGCCUUUAUAUUCAGUCUAUGAGUCAAACACAUGGAUCAUUUCCUCUGUGACAAACCAGAUGUAACGAGAAGAAAAACAUCUCAGAGAGAAAAGUUCUGUUUCUACUUGUCUCUGCUUUAAUGCUCAAUAAACAUCCUUCCACCGACUGCACUGGAA
Molecule: long non-coding RNA, 2177 nt
Organism: Limanda limanda (common dab)
Lineage: Eukaryota; Metazoa; Chordata; Actinopteri; Pleuronectiformes; Pleuronectidae
Exons: 3
Source: RefSeq, a predicted model, not a curated record